GAUGAACGCUGGCGGCGUGCCUAAUACAUGCAAGUCGAGCGAACGGACGAGAAGCUUGCUUCUCUGAUGUUAGCGGCGGACGGGUGAGUAACACGUGGAUAACCUACCUAUAAGACUGGGAUAACUUCGGGAAACCGGAGCUAAUACCGGAUAAUAUUUUGAACCGCAUGGUUCAAAAGUGAAAGACGGUCUUGCUGUCACUUAUAGAUGGAUCCGCGCUGCAUUAGCUAGUUGGUAAGGUAACGGCUUACCAAGGCAACGAUGCAUAGCCGACCUGGGAGGGUGAUCGGCCACACUGGAACUGAGACACGGCCCAGACUCCUACGGGAGGCAGCAGUAGGGAAUCUUCCGCAAUGGGCGAAAGCCUGACGGAGCAACGCCGCGUGAGUGACGAAGGUCUUCGGAUCGUAAAACUCUGUUAUUAGGGAAGAACAUAUGUGUAAGUAACUGUGCACAUCUUGACGGUACCUAAUCAGAAAGCCACGGCUAACUACGUG
Molecule: ribosomal RNA, 497 nt
Filed under: uncultured bacterium
Lineage: Bacteria
Description: partial 16S ribosomal RNA
Rfam family: Bacterial small subunit ribosomal RNA
Source: RNAcentral